RNAcentral lists this ribosomal RNA (262 nucleotides) under uncultured bacterium. RNAcentral's name for it is "partial 16S ribosomal RNA". It matches the Rfam family "Bacterial small subunit ribosomal RNA", at positions 30 to 305 of the family's 1533-position model. The record is from RNAcentral.
CGAACGCUGGCGGCAGGCCUAACACAUGCAAGUCGAGCGCACCUUCGGGUGAGCGGCGGACGGGUGAGUAACGCGUGGGUAACCUGCCCCAUACAAAGGGAUAGCCACUGGAAACGGUGAUUAAUACCUUAUAAUAUCAAUGAAUCGCAUGAUUCGUUGGUCAAAGAUUUAUCGGUAUGGGAUGGACCCGCGUCUGAUUAGCUAGUUGGUAAGGUAAUGGCUUACCAAGGCGACGAUCAGUAGCCGACCUGAGAGGGUGAUC